This is a non-coding RNA of Acanthosepion pharaonis, 98 nucleotides long. The record is from the annotation of a GenBank genome assembly. NCBI's taxonomy places the organism in Eukaryota, Metazoa, Mollusca, Cephalopoda, Sepiida, Sepiidae.
GGGAAACACCUGUUUCCAGACGAUUACCGAAGUUAAGCAACGUCAAGUCUGGUCAGUACCUAGAUGGGUGACCACUCGAGAAUAUCAGGUGCUGUCAG